RNAcentral lists this ribosomal RNA (253 nucleotides) under uncultured bacterium. Its description in RNAcentral is "partial 16S ribosomal RNA". It matches the Rfam family "Bacterial small subunit ribosomal RNA", at positions 524 to 776 of the family's 1533-position model. The record is from RNAcentral.
UACGAAGGGGGCUAGCGUUGCUCGGAAUGACUGGGCGUAAAGGGCGCGUAGGCGGCUCAUACAGUCAGAUGUGAAAUUCCUGGGCUUAACCUGGGGGCUGCAUUUGAUACGUGUGGGCUUGAGUGGGGAAGAGGGUCGUGGAAUUCCUGGUGUAGCGGUGAAAUGCGCAGAUAUCAGGAGGAACACCGAUGGCGAAGGCAGUGUUCUGGGCCAGUACUGACGCUGAGGAGCGAAAGCGUGGGGAGCAAACAGG